AAGGGUGAGUAACGCGUGAGCAACAUGCCCGGUACCGGGGGAUAGUCGAUGGAAACGUCGUGUAAUACCCCGUAACAACAGAGGCCGCAUGACCUUUGUUUAAGAGAUUUAUCGCUACCGGAUUGGCUCGCGUCCCAUUAGGCAGUUGGCGGGGUAACGGCCCACCAAACCGACGAUGGGUAGGGGUUCUGAGAGGAAGGUCCCCCACAUUGGAACUGAGACACGGUCCAGACUCCUACGGGAGGCAGCAGUGAGGAAUAUUGGACAAUGGCCGAGAGGCUGAUCCAGCCAUGCCGCGUGCGGGAGGACGGCCCUAUGGGUUGUAAACCGCUUUUGUUGGAGAGCAAUAAGGUCCACGUGUGGAUCGAUGAGAGUAUCCAGCGAAUAAGCAUCGGCUAACUCCGUGCCAGCAGCCGCGGUAAUACGGAGGAUGCAAGCGUUAUCCGGAUUUAUUGGGUUUAAAGGGUGCGUAGGCGGAUGAUUAAGCGUGAGGUGAAAUGCCACUGCUCAACAGUGGAACUGCCUCGCGAACUGGUUGUCUGGAAUGCCCCUGCCGUGGGAGGAAUGUGUGGUGUAGCGGUGAAAUGCAUAGAGAUCACACAGAACACCGAUUGCGAAGGCAUCUCACGAAGGGGUGAUUGACGCUGAGGCACGAAAGCGUGGGGAUCAAACAGGAUUAGAUACCCUGGUAGUCCACGCAGUAAACGAUGAUAACUAACCGCUGGGUAUUCGUAUUCAGUGGCCAAGCGAAAGCGAUAAGUUAUCCACCUGGGGAGUACGACCGCAAGGUUGAAACUCAAAGGAAUUGACGG
RNAcentral lists this ribosomal RNA (812 nucleotides) under uncultured bacterium. RNAcentral describes it as "bacterial SSU rRNA". It matches the Rfam family "Bacterial small subunit ribosomal RNA", at positions 102 to 916 of the family's 1533-position model. The record is from RNAcentral.